Molecule: ribosomal RNA, 497 nt
Filed under: uncultured bacterium
Lineage: Bacteria
Description: partial 16S ribosomal RNA
Rfam family: Bacterial small subunit ribosomal RNA
Source: RNAcentral
GAUGAACGCUGGCGGCGUGCCUAAUACAUGCAAGUCGAGCGAACAGACGAGGAGCUUGCUCCUCUGACGUUAGCGGCGGACGGGUGAGUAACACGUGGAUAACCUACCUAUAAGACUGGGAUAACUUCGGGAAACCGGAGCUAAUACCGGAUAAUAUAUUGAACCGCAUGGUUCAAUAGUGAAAGACGGUUUUGCUGUCACUUAUAGAUGGAUCCGCGCCGCAUUAGCUAGUUGGUAAGGUAACGGCUUACCAAGGCAACGAUGCGUAGCCGACCUGAGAGGGUGAUCGGCCACACUGGAACUGAGACACGGUCCAGACUCCUACGGGAGGCAGCAGUAGGGAAUCUUCCGCAAUGGGCGAAAGCCUGACGGAGCAACGCCGCGUGAGUGAUGAAGGUCUUCGGAUCGUGAAACUCUGUUAUUAGGGAAGAACAAAUGUGUAAGUAACUAUGCACAUCUUGACGGUACCUAAUCAGAAAGCCACGGCUAACUACGUG